This 873-nucleotide ribosomal RNA is filed under the name Lactiplantibacillus plantarum. RNAcentral describes it as "bacterial SSU rRNA". It matches the Rfam family "Bacterial small subunit ribosomal RNA", at positions 56 to 894 of the family's 1533-position model. Lineage: Bacteria; Bacillati; Bacillota; Bacilli; Lactobacillales; Lactobacillaceae. The record is from RNAcentral.
UGCAGUCGAACGAACUCUGGUAUUGAUUGGUGCUUGCAUCAUGAUUUACAUUUGAGUGAGUGGCGAACUGGUGAGUAACACGUGGGAAACCUGCCCAGAAGCGGGGGAUAACACCUGGAAACAGAUGCUAAUACCGCAUAACAACUUGGACCGCAUGGUCCGAGUUUGAAAGAUGGCUUCGGCUAUCACUUUUGGAUGGUCCCGCGGCGUAUUAGCUAGAUGGUGGGGUAACGGCUCACCAUGGCAAUGAUACGUAGCCGACCUGAGAGGGUAAUCGGCCACAUUGGGACUGAGACACGGCCCAAACUCCUACGGGAGGCAGCAGUAGGGAAUCUUCCACAAUGGACGAAAGUCUGAUGGAGCAACGCCGCGUGAGUGAAGAAGGGUUUCGGCUCGUAAAACUCUGUUGUUAAAGAAGAACAUAUCUGAGAGUAACUGUUCAGGUAUUGACGGUAUUUAACCAGAAAGCCACGGCUAACUACGUGCCAGCAGCCGCGGUAAUACGUAGGUGGCAAGCGUUGUCCGGAUUUAUUGGGCGUAAAGCGAGCGCAGGCGGUUUUUUAAGUCUGAUGUGAAAGCCUUCGGCUCAACCGAAGAAGUGCAUCGGAAACUGGGAAACUUGAGUGCAGAAGAGGACAGUGGAACUCCAUGUGUAGCGGUGAAAUGCGUAGAUAUAUGGAAGAACACCAGUGGCGAAGGCGGCUGUCUGGUCUGUAACUGACGCUGAGGCUCGAAAGUAUGGGUAGCAAACAGGAUUAGAUACCCUGGUAGUCCAUACCGUAAACGAUGAAUGCUAAGUGUUGGAGGGUUUCCGCCCUUCAGUGCUGCAGCUAACGCAUUAAGCAUUCCGCCUGGGGAGUACGGCCGCAAGCU